Molecule: small RNA, 292 nt
Filed under: Trifolium repens (white clover)
Lineage: Eukaryota; Viridiplantae; Streptophyta; Magnoliopsida; Fabales; Fabaceae
Description: Early nodulin 40
Rfam family: Early nodulin 40
Source: Rfam by way of RNAcentral
AUGAAGCUUCUUUGUUGGCAAAAAUCAAUUCAUGGUUCUUAAAACAAACAUGGAGAGAAGUGUUAGAGGGUUGUAUUAAACAAAACCCUUUACACUCUCCCUCCAUUUUCAAAAACAGUUUGCUUUGUGCUUUAGCUAUUGGCUUCUCAUAUCACAAAGAGAUUAUAUGUUUUUUUCUGAGUAGCAGAAGCAAAUAAUUAAGCAUUUUUCUCCGAAGGAUCAGAAGUUUUUUGGUUAUAGCAUGGCAAACCGGCAAGUCACAAAAAGGCAACGGAUUCCUUUUUGGGAUCUU